CCUACGGGAGGCAGCAGUGAGGAAUAUUGGUCAAUGGACGAGAGUCUGAACCAGCCAAGUAGCGUGAAGGAUGACUGCCCUAUGGGUUGUAAACUUCUUUUAUAUGGGAAUAAAACGUUCCACGUGUGGGAUUUUGUAUGUACCAUAUGAAUAAGGAUCGACUAACUCCGUGCCAGCAGCCGCGGUAAUACGGAGGAUCCGAGCGUUAUCCGGAUUUAUUGGGUUUAAAGGGAGCGUAGGUGGAUUGUCAAGUCAGUUGUGAAAGUUUGCGGCUCAACCGUAAAAUUGCAGUUGAAACUGGCAGUCUUGAGUACAGUAGAGGUGUGCGGAAUUCGUGGUGUAGCGGUGAAAUGCUGAGAUAUCACGAAGAACUCCGAUUGCGAAGGCAGUUCACUGGACUGCAACUGACACUGAGGCUCGAAAGUGUGGGUAUCAAACAGGAUUAGAUACCCUUGUAGUC
Molecule: ribosomal RNA, 460 nt
Filed under: uncultured bacterium
Lineage: Bacteria
Description: partial 16S ribosomal RNA
Rfam family: Bacterial small subunit ribosomal RNA
Source: RNAcentral